ACUUGCUGGGACAGCUGACUGGCUGCGUCCUGGUGUUGAGCAGGAACUUCGUGCAGUACGCCUGCUUCGGGCUCUUUGGAAUCAUAGCUCUGCAGACGAUUGCCUACAGCAUUUUAUGGGACUUGAAGUUUUUGAUGAGGAACCUGGCCCUGGGAGGAGGCCUGUUGCUGCUCCUAGCAGAAUCCCGUUCUGAAGGGAAGAGCAUGUUUGCGGGCGUCCCCACCAUGCGUG
RNAcentral lists this unclassified non-coding RNA (231 nucleotides) under Hevea brasiliensis (rubber tree). The record is from RNAcentral. Lineage: Eukaryota; Viridiplantae; Streptophyta; Magnoliopsida; Malpighiales; Euphorbiaceae.